AAGUCGGGCUAAUACCAAAUGUGCUUUCCACUCUCAAGAGUGGUCAGGAAAGNNAGCUUCGGCCUCCGCAUCGGGAUGGGCCCGCGGCGCAUUAGCUUGUUGGUGAGGUAAUGGCUCACCAAGGCGACGAUGCGUAGCUGGUCUGAGAGGACGAUCAGCCACACUGGAACUGAGACACGGUCCAGACUCCUACGGGAGGCAGCAGUGGGGAAUCUUGCGCAAUGCGCGAAAGCGUGACGCAGCAACGCCGCGUGUGGGAAGACGGCCUUCGGGUUGUAAACCACUUUCAGUUGGGACGAAGGGCAGUCCGUUAAUAGCGGCUCUGCUUGACGGUACCUUCACAAGAAGCCCCGGCUAACUACGUGCCAGCAGCCGCGGUAAUACGUAGGGGGCAAGCGUUGUCCGGAAUCAUUGGGCGUAAAGCGCGUGUAGGCGGGUCGGUAAGUCUGCUCUGAAAGUCCAAGGCUCAACCUUGGGAUGCGGGUGGAUACUGCCGACCUCGAGUCCGGAAGAGGCGAGUGGAAUUCCUGGUGUAGCGGUGAAAUGCGCAGAUAUCAGGAGGAACACCAAUGGCGAAGGCAGCUCGCUGGGACGUGACUGACGCUGAGACGCGAAAGCGUGGGGAGCAAACAGGAUUAGAUACCCUGGUAGUCCACGCCGUAAACGAUGGGCACUAGGUGUGGGAGGUGUCGACUCCUCCCGUGCCGAAGCUAACGCAUUAAGUGCCCCGCCUGGGGAGUACGGCCGCAAGGCUAAAACUCAAAGGAAUUGACGGAAUCGAAUU
RNAcentral lists this ribosomal RNA (784 nucleotides) under uncultured bacterium. RNAcentral describes it as "bacterial SSU rRNA". It matches the Rfam family "Bacterial small subunit ribosomal RNA", at positions 155 to 925 of the family's 1533-position model. The record is from RNAcentral.